RNAcentral lists this ribosomal RNA (496 nucleotides) under uncultured bacterium. Its description in RNAcentral is "partial 16S ribosomal RNA". It matches the Rfam family "Bacterial small subunit ribosomal RNA", at positions 28 to 506 of the family's 1533-position model. The record is from RNAcentral.
GAUGAACGCUGGCGGCGUGCCUAAUACAUGCAAGUCGAGCGAACGGACGAGAAGCUUGCUUCUCUGAUGUUAGCGGCGGACGGGUGAGUAACACGUGGAUAACCUACCUAUAAGACUGGGAUAACUUCGGGAAACCGUAGCUAAUACCGGAUAAUAUUUUGAACCGCAUGGUUCAAAAGUGAAAGACGGUCUUGCUGUCACUUAUAGAUGGAUCCGCGCUGCAUUAGCUAGUUGGUAAGGUAACGGCUUACCAAGGCAACGAUGCAUAGCCGACCUGAGAGGAUGAUCGGCCACACUGGAACUGAGACACGGUCCAGACUCCUACGGGAGGCAGCAGUAGGGAAUCUUCCGCAAUGGGCGAAAGCCUGACGGAGCAACGCCGCGGGAGUGAUGAAGGUUUUCGGAUCGUAAAACUCUGUUAUUAGGGAAGAACAUAUGUGUAAGUAACUGUGCACAUUUUGACGGUACCUAAUCAGAAAACCACGGCUAACUACGU